RNAcentral lists this transfer RNA (79 nucleotides) under Candidatus Odinarchaeota archaeon. Its description in RNAcentral is "tRNA-Met". It matches the Rfam family "tRNA". Rfam says of the family: Transfer RNA (tRNA) molecules are approximately 80 nucleotides in length. The record is from RNAcentral. Lineage: Archaea; Promethearchaeati; Candidatus Odinarchaeota. RNAcentral also lists the same sequence under 1 other name.
GCCGCGGUGGUGUAGCCCGGUCAAGCAUCGGGGCCUCAUGAGCCCUGGACCCGGGUUCAAAAUCCCGGCCGCGGCACCA